GUGUAGGUACCUUGCUGGUGAUUCCUCCCUCCUGGAGGCCAUCUGAAGAGGAAUGUCUAUGUCCUGUUAUCACCAGGAGCAACAGGUUAAUGGCCUGCAGACGCUUGGUUGCACUGAGUAAACCUACUAACACACAGAUAAGUCAAGUGAGUAGAAUAGUAUCAUAUUUAAGUUAACUAGCUCCAUUUUCUAUCCUGCAUUAUCUGGCUGUUGUGCUACAAUCACAGGAGAACUGGAUCAUUAACUAAUUAAAAGCAAAGUUUAUUAACUGCAGACUCUCACAUGAAGAUGCAAUACACUGCAUGCAAACAUUUAACACAAAGGCACAACCCCAGAGUUCCAUGUCUUCUGUUAAAGAGCUACAUGCAGAGUACAACAUAUUGUCACUUCUGCUCGAGUUCAGUCUCAGUUUGGGAGGAAGGUUCACAGUAACUCACUCACUGAGAUUCAACACAAAGAGUUUCUCUGAGAAGCACGCUCCUGAGUUAACUAGUAAGAAACCAGAGAGGUCGCAGUGGGCUCAUCUUAAAAAAGGAAAUGAGAAGUUUAUUACAAGACAGUUGAUGCCACUCCUCUGGCAUAUGGAUAGCACACCCAUCUUCAAGCUGGGGAAGCUCUACUGCAUUCAAGAGAUGCUGCCAUGCAGAAAUUCAGCUGCAAAAGAAACGGGAAAAAAUACUCAGUGAUGUCAUUUGGUGAGUAAAGCAAGUCUGAGGCACUGUACUGCUGAAGUACAUGAUUCAUUAUUACAAGUGUUAUUAACAUUUGUUAUUCACACAAGUUUUUUCUUUUUCUGUACAGAACAUGCAAUGCUAAAUGGCCAAGCACAGAAGGAGUCUAUUUGCUCCUCUUUCUCCUCCCUCAAGAUUAUUAAGCUCGUGGCAUCAACAGGGGAUGAAGUCCCAAGCACAGAAAUGCAGGAGCAUCCUUUCUUUGUGGUAAGCACUUAUCAUAUUCCUGUUUUAAGUUGGAGACAGACAGGUAUCCGCUUCACCACAGAAGCUUCAGCUUCCUAGCCACUUCAUUUUAGCACAGAUUCUUAAGCAUCUCAAUUCCCCACACAUAACACACAGCCUUGCCACCUGCAGUAGAAACCAUCUUUACAAAAAGCUGUCACAAUCAGACAGUUCUUCUCUAAAAAGGACCAGUAUUUUGGGGACAUACCUUGAAAGGAGAAGAACAGUUAGACCAAGGAGUUCCCCCACACAGGUUUGCUUCAGCAAGACAAUAAAGUGAAAGGCAUCUCUCAAACUGGAGACCUAGUUUUUCCACUAUUAAGAAGUUCCAAGUUUGUAAACUUGAAGUUGCCCAUCCACCUAUUCAACUCAGUGCAUUUUGAGGUAUGCUCUUAAGUACUAUGCUUCAUAUCCACAGAGUUACUUUUACCUUUAUAAAACACAGAACUGAGUUGGCCUUGUGAGAUCUCUUGCAGGAGAUUUCAUAAGUCUUUCCCCUGUUUAAUUUUCCCAUUAAUCUGUUUUCUUCUGCAAGCUACACUUGGAAGAAGUCUUAGAGAGCAGCAGAGCUUCCCUCCUUUCUGAGGAUCUCAGUCAACUCAGGCUGUUAUUCUAUACAUCCUGUGAAUCAAUAGCUGCUUUACUUCCACACAACACAGGCACAUGCCACCUCCAGCCACUUAAACAAAACACAGUGCAGUCAAUUUCUACUCAGAGCAAGCAACCUCUUAAGUCACAGACCAAGAGAGCCAUAUCCAAGAGGGUUUACCUCAGGUUGGAAAUAAACUAAACUUUCUUCCCUUCCCUUCCAGCGCAGGAGCACUACCACAAAGCAGCCAUCACCACAUAAGAGCCACCACAGCACAUAGGUGAGACCCCUUCACCACAAAGGGCUCCCCCCCCUCAUCCCCCCCACCCACUCAGGGGGGGAGGGCCCUCCUGGCCAGGAGGGGCUCCCCCCCCUCAUCCCCCCCACCCACUCAGGGGGGGAGGGCCCUCCUGGCCAGGAGGGGCUCUCCCCCUC
This is a long non-coding RNA of Gallus gallus (chicken), 1980 nucleotides long. The record is from Ensembl. NCBI's taxonomy places the organism in Eukaryota, Metazoa, Chordata, Aves, Galliformes, Phasianidae.